CGUAGGGGCGAAGCGUUAUCCGGAGUUUACUUGGGUGUAAAGGGAGGCGUAGACGGUUUGUCAAGUCUGAAGUGAAAGACCCCCGGGCCGUUAACCCCGGGAACCGUGCUUUGGAAACUAGUAGAACUAGAGUGCAGGAGAGGUAAGUGGAAUUCCUAGUGUAGCGGUGAAAUGCGUAGAUAUUAGGAGGAACACCAGUGGCGAAGGCGGCUUACUGGACUGUAACUGACGUUGAGGCUCGAAAGCGUGGGGAGCAAACAGGAUU
This 265-nucleotide ribosomal RNA is filed under the name uncultured bacterium. RNAcentral describes it as "partial 16S ribosomal RNA". It matches the Rfam family "Bacterial small subunit ribosomal RNA", at positions 526 to 779 of the family's 1533-position model. The record is from RNAcentral.